UGAGGCGUCUCUCUCUUGACUCCCCA
This 26-nucleotide non-coding RNA is filed under the name Rattus norvegicus (Norway rat). Lineage: Eukaryota; Metazoa; Chordata; Mammalia; Rodentia; Muridae. The record is from RNAcentral.